CAGGAACGCCUAUGGAGAAUUACGGCUGCAUCUCAAGUGUGCCAUUGGAUUGCCUCCGAUGGUUUGGCCAAGUUUGACCAAGCAAGCAUUCUUAGAAAGCAGAAAACUGUCAGUAGAAUCCUUGCAAAGGGCGUCAUAAGUUUUUGGCGUUCAGCUGAGGCUGUCCGAACUACUGGCGGAACAACUAAAGUGAUGCAAAAAAAUGAUUCAAAUAUGCCAGGAGAGACAAAGCCUACUGGAACCAAAGCUGAGAAAGUGAUGCAAAAAAAUGAUUCAAAUAUGCCAGGAGAGACAAAGCCUACCGGAACCAAAGCUGAGAAACAACAGGU
RNAcentral lists this long non-coding RNA (329 nucleotides) under Hordeum vulgare. RNAcentral describes it as "long non-coding RNA (HVUL_LNC002472)". The record is from RNAcentral. Lineage: Eukaryota; Viridiplantae; Streptophyta; Magnoliopsida; Poales; Poaceae.